GAUGAACGCUGGCGGCGUGCCUAAUACAUGCAAGUCGAGCGAACAGAUGAGGAGCUUGCUCCUCUGACGUUAGCGGCGGACGGGUGAGUAACACGUGGAUAACCUACCUAUAAGACUGGGAUAACUUCGGGAAACCGGAGCUAAUACCGGAUAAUAUAUUGAACCGCAUGGUUCAAUAGUGAAAGACGGUUUUGCUGUCACUUAUAGAUGGAUCCGCGCCGCAUUAGCUAGUUGGUAAGGUAACGGCUUACCAAGGCAACGAUGCGUAGCCGACCUGAGAGGGUGAUCGGCCACACUGGAACUGAGACACGGUCCAGACUCCUACGGGAGGCAGCAGUAGGGAAUCUUCCGCAAUGGGCGAAAGCCUGACGGAGCAACGCCGCGUGGGUGAUGAAGGUCUUCGGAUCGUAAAGCUCUGUUAUUAGGGAAGAACAACUGUGUAAGUAACUAUGCACGUCUUGACGGUACCUAAUCAGAAAGCCACGGCUAACUACGUG
Molecule: ribosomal RNA, 497 nt
Filed under: uncultured bacterium
Lineage: Bacteria
Description: partial 16S ribosomal RNA
Rfam family: Bacterial small subunit ribosomal RNA
Source: RNAcentral